AUUGAACGCUGGCGGCAUGCCUUACACAUGCAAGUCGAACGGCAGCGCGGGGCAACCUGGCGGCGAGUGGCGAACGGGUGAGUAAUAUAUCGGAACGUACCCUGGAGUGGGGGAUAACGUAGCGAAAGUUGCGCUAAUACCGCAUACGAUCUAAGGAUGAAAGUGGGGGAUUCGCAAGAACCUCAUGCUCCUGGAGCGGC
Molecule: ribosomal RNA, 200 nt
Filed under: uncultured bacterium
Lineage: Bacteria
Description: partial 16S ribosomal RNA
Rfam family: Bacterial small subunit ribosomal RNA
Source: RNAcentral